RNAcentral lists this ribosomal RNA (250 nucleotides) under uncultured bacterium. RNAcentral's name for it is "partial 16S ribosomal RNA". It matches the Rfam family "Bacterial small subunit ribosomal RNA", at positions 524 to 773 of the family's 1533-position model. The record is from RNAcentral.
UACGGAGGGUGCGAGCGUUAAUCGGAAUUACUGGGCGUAAAGGGCGCGUAGGCGGUCUGUUAAGCCAGAUGUGAAAGCCCCGGGCUUAACCUGGGAACAGCAUUUGGAACUGGCAGACUUGAGUGCAGGAGAGGAAGGUAGAAUUCCAGGUGUAGCGGUGAAAUGCGUAGAGAUCUGGAGGAAUACCAGUGGCGAAGGCGGCCUUCUGGACUGACACUGACGCUGAGGCGCGAAAGCGUGGGUAGCAAAC